CCUACGGGGGGCAGCAGUGAGGAAUAUUGGUCAAUGGACGAGAGUCUGAACCAGCCAAGUAGCGUGAAGGAUGACUGCCCUAUGGGUUGUAAACUUCUUUUAUAUGGGAAUAAAAUGUUCCACGUGUGGGAUUUUGUAUGUACCAUAUGAAUAAGGAUCGGCUAACUCCGUGCCAGCAGCCGCGGUAAUACGGAGGAUCCGAGCGUUAUCCGGAUUUAUUGGGUUUAAAGGGAGCGUAGGUGGAUUGUUAAGUCAGUUGUGAAAGUUUGCGGCUCAACCGUAAAAUUGCAGUUGAAACUGGCAGUCUUGAGUACAGUAGAGGUGGGUGGAAUUCGUGGUGUAGCGGUGAAAUGCUUAGAUAUCACGAAGAACUCCGAUUGCGAAGGCAGUUCACUGGACUGCAACUGACACUGAGGCUCGAAAGUGUGGGUAUCAAACAGGAUUAGAUACCCUUGUAGUC
RNAcentral lists this ribosomal RNA (460 nucleotides) under uncultured bacterium. Its description in RNAcentral is "partial 16S ribosomal RNA". It matches the Rfam family "Bacterial small subunit ribosomal RNA", at positions 338 to 795 of the family's 1533-position model. The record is from RNAcentral.